RNAcentral lists this non-coding RNA (23 nucleotides) under Arabidopsis thaliana (thale cress). The record is from RNAcentral. Lineage: Eukaryota; Viridiplantae; Streptophyta; Magnoliopsida; Brassicales; Brassicaceae.
ACAAAAUGGCUGAAAAAUGUAUA